ACGCUCGACACCUACGGGAGGCAGCAGUGGGGAAUAUUGCACAAUGGGGGAAACCCUGAUGCAGCGACGCCGCGUGAAGGAAGAAGUAUCUCGGUAUGUAAACUUCUAUCAGCAGGGAANAAAUGACGGUACCUGACUAAGAACGCCCCGGCUAACUACGUGCCAACAGCCGCGGUAAUCUGAGGCGGGCUGGCAAGGC
This 199-nucleotide ribosomal RNA is filed under the name uncultured bacterium. Its description in RNAcentral is "partial 16S ribosomal RNA". It matches the Rfam family "Bacterial small subunit ribosomal RNA", at positions 328 to 539 of the family's 1533-position model. The record is from RNAcentral.